UGUAUAUAUACACACAGAGACAGACGAGUUCAUACAAUCACAUAUGAGACACCAAGUGGAGGAACAGUUUCAAUCGAUCAAGCUAUAGAGAUAUAUGGCAGAGUGCCCAGGUAAAAACUCAUGGCCGGAGCUUGUGGGUGUGAACGGAGAUGCGGCCGCAGCGGUGGUGGAGAGGGAGAAUCCGAACGUGGAAGCCAUAGUGCUCAAGGAAGGGACGCCGGUCACCAAGGAUUUCCGGUGCAGCCGAGUCCGAGUUUGGGUCGACGACUACAAGAUCGUCACCCGAACUCCCAAAAUUGGUUAAUGUUACACCGAAAACGAACCAGUAUAUAAGUGAAUUAGUAUGUGUGGGGGUAACGUUUUUAGUUAUACAAUAAGGUCGAUGAUCAUAUGGAAAAUAAUGUGAUACGAACAAAAUGGUAUUAAUUUUCGGGUUCAAAUCUCACAUGGGCAAAAUAUUAUUAAAAAAAAUGGUAUUAAUUAUAAUAAUAUCCUGUCAACUUGAACGAUAUCUUA
Molecule: long non-coding RNA, 516 nt
Organism: Tarenaya hassleriana
Lineage: Eukaryota; Viridiplantae; Streptophyta; Magnoliopsida; Brassicales; Cleomaceae
Exons: 2
Source: RefSeq, a predicted model, not a curated record